Molecule: ribosomal RNA, 923 nt
Filed under: Heteropolypus ritteri
Lineage: Eukaryota; Metazoa; Cnidaria; Anthozoa; Scleralcyonacea; Coralliidae
Description: partial large subunit ribosomal RNA
Rfam family: Eukaryotic large subunit ribosomal RNA
Source: RNAcentral
CAGUAAUGGCGAAUGAAGAGGAAACAGCUCAAAUUGGUAAUCUCCGUUGAUCGCAACGGCGAAUUGUAGUCUCGAGAAGUACUAUCCGUGCGAGUCGACUUUGUCUAAGUUGCUUGGAACAGCACGUCGUAGAGGGUGACAACCCCGUACGUGGCAAGGUUCGAAUGCCUGCGAGGUGCUUUCAAAGAGUCGGGUUGUUUGGGAAUGCAGCCCUAAAUUGGUGGUAAACUCCAUCUAAAGCUAAAUACCGGCACGAGACCGAUAGCGAACAAGUACCGCGAGGGAAAGAUGAAAAGAACUUUGAAAAGAGAGUUAAAGAGUACGUGAAACCGUUAAAAGGGAAGCGAAUGAAACCAGCAAUUUACCGUUUCGGAUUCAGUCGCCUGCGCUCGAGCAAGUGCUUGUCCGCGAUUUUUUUCCUAGACGCGACUCGUGCAAUUGCCCGAGAGCAGGCUGCGCACUUCCGAAAGGUCAGUGUCAGCAUCAGUUGGUCACCGGUUAGAAGGUUGCGACGAAGGUAGAUCCUGCGGGGUUGUUGAGCGUCGCGAACAAAUGACCCGAGGCCGACUGUAGUCUCUCGCAAUGCGCGCCGCCGUAGGCUGGCUGGUGCCCUGUCCUGUUGACACGGUUGUCGACCGCGGCGGACGGCUUUGCCKGUGCGUCCAAACCGCUGCCUGUCAACAGGUCRGCCUGCACACACCACGCGUUGACUAUGCUGACGAAUAUACGGUUUCAUGCGACCCGUCUUGAAACACGGACCAAGGAGUCUAACGUGUGCGCGAGUCUGUGGGUGAACGAAACCCGGUGGCGUAAUGAAAGUGAAGGUAACCUUAUCGUUGCUGAGGUGAGAAGCCCGGCCCGCGUGGCCGAGCCGUAUCAUCGACCGACCUGUUCUACCCUAGGAAGGUUUGAGUAAGAGCGUA